UUUUAUCUUUCCAUGCCCCUUGGCAAUCAUUAUCCUACCUGACUGUUUGAUCUCUCUCUUUUUUUUUGUUUCGGUUCAGGUAUUUCUUGCAUCGUUUUCCUUUAUAUCUUUUCUUUUUUCUUUUUCUUUCUUUUUUUUUUAUUUUUUUCCAGGACCAACCUCGAUUCCUCUUUCAUUCGGCGGACAUCACUCCAUAAGUGCACCGAUUCGGACUCAACAGUCUGAGUUAUCUCCACCUGUCAAACAACUUGAUCACGUCCACCGGAUGCCCUUUUUUCUUUUUGGGACUUUGUCAUCAUGUCAUCAACAUGGCAUUCGCUUUCACGAUGAAUCAUAUCAUGAAAC
This 345-nucleotide long non-coding RNA is filed under the name Lathyrus oleraceus (garden pea). Its description in RNAcentral is "Pisum sativum (pea) long non-coding RNA (PSAT_LNC036166)". The record is from RNAcentral. Lineage: Eukaryota; Viridiplantae; Streptophyta; Magnoliopsida; Fabales; Fabaceae.